RNAcentral lists this transfer RNA (84 nucleotides) under Dichomitus squalens. RNAcentral's name for it is "tRNA-Pro". It matches the Rfam family "tRNA". Rfam says of the family: Transfer RNA (tRNA) molecules are approximately 80 nucleotides in length. The record is from RNAcentral. Lineage: Eukaryota; Fungi; Basidiomycota; Agaricomycetes; Polyporales; Polyporaceae.
GGCCUGGUGGUCUAGUAGUAUGAUUCCUUCUUAGGGUUUAGAACCAUGUGGAGGAGGUCCCGGGUUCAAUUCCCGGCCAGGCCC